GGAGUUAGCCGGUGCUUCUUCUGCGAGUAACGUCACAGAUGUAAGGUAUUAACUUACACCCUUUCCUCCUCGCUGAAAGUGCUUUACAACCCGAAGGCCUUCUUCACACACGCGGCAUGGCUGCAUCAGGGUUUCCCCCAUUGUGCAAUAUUCCCCACUGCUGCCUCCCGUAGGAGUCUGGGCCGUGUCUCAGUCCCAGUGUGGCUGAUCAUCCUCUCAGACCAGCUAGGGAUCGUCGCCUAGGUGAGCCUUUACCUCACCUACUAGCUAAUCCCACCUGGGCUUAUCCAUCAGCGCAAGGCCCGAAGGUCCCCUGCUUUCCCCCGUAGGGCGUAUGCGGUAUUAGCAGUCGUUUCCAACUGUUAUCCCCCACAAAUGGGCAAAUUCCCAGGCAUUACUCACCCGUCCGCCGCUCGUCAUCUUCAAAAGCAAGCUUUUGAAAUGUUACCGCUCGACUUGCAUGUGUUAGGCCUGCCGCCAGCGUUCAUCCUGAGCCAUGAUCAAACUCUGA
This 511-nucleotide ribosomal RNA is filed under the name uncultured bacterium. Its description in RNAcentral is "partial 16S ribosomal RNA". The record is from RNAcentral.